This is a non-coding RNA of Peromyscus maniculatus bairdii (prairie deer mouse), 3186 nucleotides long. Lineage: Eukaryota; Metazoa; Chordata; Mammalia; Rodentia; Cricetidae. The record is from RefSeq and is a predicted model, not a curated record.
CUUCGGAUUUCCCGCCGCCCUGAACUCGGGGCAGCUCGCGAUCCCCUCGCGCGCGUUCUUUUGAUCCCCGCCCCCAGCUUUUCCCGCGUCCGGGAGGCCUGGCACACACAAGGCGCACACUCUGGUUCCUCCCUUCCCCCACCCCCACCCCCCACCCCGAACCCCCACUGAGAUAAUGUGAAUGAUUUCUCCAGAUCUGGUCCCGGAUGAGAUGAAGUGGUUCGUUGACUGCAUGACCUUGGGCAGCCCCCCCACCUCUUUUAUGAUGGAAAGCCAGACACUGUUAAACCCGGGGAUUACCACGAUGAGAGAGAUACAGUGGCCGCUCCCUUGGAGUAAUCUACAACCGACUGCGGAGCCGCGCAGAACUCGACUUUCUGACCAAUGCCUGGGGAUUCUGCUUUCUCCCUUUCUCUUGGGGCUUAGAUGGUGUUUUUUUUGGGGGGGGGGCACCCGGAGGAGUGCCUUCAUGGUACGAAGCCACACCUGCAUCAGGUGUGGAACCAGACAGAGUGUCCUUAGAAAGACCGCUGCCAGAUACCUGUGUGAGCAUGGCUGCCAUCUGCAGAUUUCCCAGAAGAUUCCCCUGGGAGAGCCUUUAAGAGAGGCAGUAGACAGAAGUAAAAGGAGGUAGAGAAUUCAGGAGAAUUAGUCAUAUGUGAAGAUGUUAUGGUAGAGUUCCUGGUGGAGAGGAUUCUGUGCUUUAUACCUCCGAAAAAUAUGGCUGAGGCGUUGGGAAUAUGCUGAGUCAUGGGGCUGGGGAGGAAGGGAGGACCCAUGGCAUUUAAGGCACAGAUCCCGGGGAACCUGAGGUCUUUGUGCUGAGUGCAUUCAGGGUGUGUGAAGGGGCAAGGAAGAAAUUUGAGACCGCCACACAAGACCCUUAGACAUCCUGCUUUAUAAAGGACUCCGAUUGCCAUAAUAGGUCACAGUGGAGAAAAGACAUCAGGGAUCCAUAGAAAUCCCUGACGGGUGUCAAGCGUGGACUUGGAGACAGACCACUUAAGGGGAUCAGACCGGUAGAGAUGCUCCCAAGUGACACAUGCAGGCUGACUGAUGAGCUACCUGCUUUGGCCGGGUCACCUGGCCGCCAACCGCACACCCCCCUGACCUGAGUUAAACGUGUUUGCCCUGGGUGUAGGGUUCUAUUUUACUUUCUAAGUCUCUUUCCUGCCUCCCAGGACAGCCCUCCUCACCAGUGUGCAGACAAACCUUUACCUCAGGGCAGCCUGGCUUUGCUCACACUUUUUCUCUUGACCCUGUGGGGUGGGGAGUGGGGGGGAUGCACCGUGUGUGUGUGUGUGUGUGUGUGUGUGUGUGUGUGUGUGUACAUGCAGACAUGCUGGAGAGUGGGCUGUGCCCUAUCUUGUUCUGAAGAAAUGAUAAACAAUGCCUUUUUUUUUUUUUUGGUUGCUCUGCUACCUGGACCAAUGGGGUAGGACUCUCUUUUCAUAUUCUAAACAGAUGGGAAGGUGGUGAUGACAGAGAAUUCCCGGGUGCCUUUUCAACAGUGGGGUUUUCCUGGGUUUUUGAAACCCUCUUGGUGAAAGGUGAUGAACGUGUGCCAUCCCCCUUUCUGCUGUGCCCCCCCCCACAAACUUCUUAAGCUUCUUUAAAAAGCUCCUACUAAGUCUCUGAUUUAAAAAAACAAAACAAAACAACAAAAACAAAAAAACAAAACUUCAGCAAUAAAACCAAGACUACAUUGCCCCAGAAUCUCCCGGGAAUCAAAGCUUUCCAGGGAGCGUUUUCACCCUACCCAGGUUCCCACCAUCUGUCAUGAUUGGCUGCUGUCUGCUCUGAAGCCCUAAUGCACUAACCUGGCAUGCCAUUGCCCUUUCUUUCUAGGGCUAAAGUUCCUGGCAGGGGCAUGGAGGAUGAACAAGUCAGUCAGGGUCUUCCAGCAGCCCCAUGGGUCAAAGAGUUAAUCGCAGUUCAUUUAUUGUCACUUUAGGAGUAUUUGCUGUGGUGGCAUAAGCAAGUGACUUCACGUUGACACUUUUAGGUAGAGGGACAGAAGGCCCAUGUGACCAAAAAUUAUGCAUACGUUUGUGCCUGAGCACUGUUCCCUCCCAGUAAGAUAGAAAAGCCAUGAAGGCCCUGACUCUUGACUCGGCCACUCAUCAAGAGCGAGGUUGCUUUGCAAACGCACCCAUAGAUGAGGUUUUAGUCUCCUGGUCAGUGAAGGUAUGUCACAUUGGUGCUGUCCACCCUCCCAUGGGGGCAGUGAACUCAAAAUCCAGAAAGAAUUGUUGAACUUGAAAGGUUCCUAGAAACACUUUUUAGUCAUAUUCUUCUUUAUUCCCAAAGUGUGUGUAGGGAGGGGGGGCACAGGGAAUGGGGUGUUUUGAGUGGAGGCCUUUUUGUCCCCAGUGUGGUGUCAUAUCCAAUAAUCACAACCAGGGACUGCUCCGUUGUCAGCCUGUUACCCACGAGGGGUGACUUCUCUCACCUUUUUGCUUUUAAAACCUAAAACAAAUGUCUGCAGCCUAGGAGAGACUCCCCCUUCCCCCUAGGUUUUUGGGAAUGUUUUGUGGGUUUGUUUUAGAGCUAGGGAAAGGGGGGUGUAAUUUUGCCUGAGGACUCAAAGCUUUUUUUUUCUCUCUCCCUUUUCCUUCGCAUGACUGACUUUCUCACACUCAGAUUCCCUGCAGCCUGCCAGAGACUGGGUUGCUGCCUUGCCAAGAGCUAUCCUGGUAGGGUUAUUGAAAGAGCUUUGACCCUUUCAGCCUCCGUGAGAAAAAUGAAGCCCAAGAGAGCAGGGACGUGUUUGCCUUUCCUCCGGGGCGGCAGCCAGCUCCUUGCAGCUGGGAGUGUCCAGAGACACUUUCGACAUUCCAGGCAUCCUGUGCCUGCAUGUCUGUCUGUGGGUGCCUCCUGGCGACACCACACCUGAGCCAGAACGACGCUGGAGAUCACUUUUCCCUGUGGCCACUCUUCUGCUCUGGCUGCAGGCAUUUGGCUGGCUGGUGACUUGAGGAUCCUUUACUGGAAUCAUCAUCAUCCUUGUCUUCUCAGAUGAGAGUCUUGGGACUCAUCACAGAAUUCCCUAGUGAGCAGAACUUCUCAUCACCUGAACAGUCCCUGAAAAGGAGUUGGAAUUUCUUCCUCCAUAUGCCCCUUUAUGUCUAGCAGGUGCCUAAUAAAUAUUUCCCAAAUGAACAAAUGCACCACUUUCUUACCCAA